AUUGAACGCUGGCGGCAGGCCUAACACAUGCAAGUCGAACGGCAGCACAGAAGAGCUUGCUCUUUAGGUGGCGAGUGGCGGACGGGUGAGUAAUGUCUGGGAAACUGCCCGAUGGAGGGGGAUAACUACUGGAAACGGUAGCUAAUACCGCAUAACGUCGCAAGACCAAAGUGGGGGACCUUCGGGCCUCACACCAUCGGAUGUGCCCAGAUGGGAUUAGCUAGUAGGUGGGGUAAUGGCUCACCUAGGCGACGAUCCCUAGCUGGUCUGAGAGGAUGACCAGCCACACGGGAACUGAGACACUGUCCAGACUCCGACGGGAGGCAGCGGUGGGGAAUAUUGCACAAUGGGCGCAAGCCUGAUGCAGCCAUGCCGCGUGUAUGAAGAAGGCCUUCGGGUUGUAAAGUACUUUCAGCGGGGAGGAAGGCGGUGAGGUUAAUAACCUCGCCGAUUGACGUUACCCGCAGAAGAAGCACCGGCUAACUCCGUGCCAGCCGCCGCAGUAA
Molecule: ribosomal RNA, 506 nt
Filed under: uncultured bacterium
Lineage: Bacteria
Description: partial 16S ribosomal RNA
Rfam family: Bacterial small subunit ribosomal RNA
Source: RNAcentral